This 794-nucleotide ribosomal RNA is filed under the name Lasiochalcidia dargelasii. Its description in RNAcentral is "SSU rRNA". It matches the Rfam family "Eukaryotic small subunit ribosomal RNA", at positions 454 to 1208 of the family's 1831-position model. Lineage: Eukaryota; Metazoa; Arthropoda; Insecta; Hymenoptera; Chalcididae. The record is from RNAcentral.
GCACGGGGAGGUAGUGACGAAAAAUAACGAUGCGGGACUCAUCCGAGGCCCCGUAAUCGGAAUGAGUACACUUUAAAUCCUUUAGCGAGGAUCCAUUGGAGGGCAAGUCUGGUGCCAGCAGCCGCGGUAAUUCCAGCUCCAAUAGCGUAUAUUAAAGUUGUUGCGGUUAAAAAGCUCGUAGUUGAAUUUGUGUGCCACGCUGUUGGUUCAUCGCUCGCGAUGUUUAACUGACAUGAUUGUGGGACGUCCUACCGGUGGGCUCUGCCUUUCGGGGCGGUCCAGCUAAUAUCCCAUCGCGGUGCUCUUCAUCGAGUGUCGAGGUGGGCCGGUACGUUUACUUUGAACAAAUUAGAGUGCUCAAAGCAGGCUAUGCUCGCCUGAAUACUGUGUGCAUGGAAUAAUGGAAUAGGACCUCGGUUCUAUUUUGUUGGUUUUCGGAACCCCGAGGUAAUGAUUAAUAGGGACAGAUGGGGGCAUUCGUAUUGCGACGUUAGAGGUGAAAUUCUUGGAUCGUCGCAAGACGGACAGAAGCGAAAGCAUUUGCCAAAAAUGUUUUCAUUAAUCAAGAACGAAAGUUAGAGGUUCGAAGGCGAUCAGAUACCGCCCUAGUUCUAACCAUAAACGAUGCCAGCUAGCGAUCCGCCGAAGUUCCUCCGAUGACUCGGCGGGCAGCUUCCGGGAAACCAAAGCUUUUGGGUUCCGGGGGAAGUAUGGUUGCAAAGCUGAAACUUAAAGGAAUUGACGGAAGGGCACCACCAGGAGUGGAGCCUGCGGCUUAAUUUGACUCAACACGG